RNAcentral lists this transfer RNA (82 nucleotides) under Phaeodactylum tricornutum CCAP 1055/1. RNAcentral describes it as "tRNA-Ser for anticodon CGA". It matches the Rfam family "tRNA". From Rfam's summary of the family: Transfer RNA (tRNA) molecules are approximately 80 nucleotides in length. Their secondary structure includes four short double-helical elements and three loops (D, anti-codon, and T loops). Lineage: Eukaryota; Bacillariophyta; Bacillariophyceae; Surirellales; Neidiaceae. The record is from Rfam by way of RNAcentral.
GACUGCUUGGCCGAGUGGUUAAGGCGAUUGACUUGAAAUCAAUUGGGUUCAUCCCGCGUAGGUUCGAACCCUGCAGCAGUCG